Lutra lutra (Eurasian river otter) is the source of this 106-nucleotide small nuclear RNA. NCBI's taxonomy places the organism in Eukaryota, Metazoa, Chordata, Mammalia, Carnivora, Mustelidae. The record is from RefSeq and is a predicted model, not a curated record.
GCGCUCACUUUGGCAGCACAGAUAUAAAAUUAGAACAAUACAGAGAAGAUUAGCAUAGCUCCUGUGUAAGGAUGAAAAGUAAAUUCAUGAAGCAUUCCAUAUUUUU